UUUGUGGUUGUUCAAUCUUGCCUGUGU
RNAcentral lists this non-coding RNA (27 nucleotides) under Mus musculus (house mouse). Lineage: Eukaryota; Metazoa; Chordata; Mammalia; Rodentia; Muridae. The record is from RNAcentral.